GGGGGAAGAAGAAAGAAUUCAGACCUAGACGGGUCAUUCUCGACCCGAAUGGAGUGGACGGGUCAACCCGACUGGUUCUCCGUUUUCCGACGACGGCGAGGAGAAAGAAUGGUAGCGGCAGCUUCCUCUCGUUCUCGUGGUCAUGCCCAAGCCCUUGAUUUUCAGAUAAGAUGUCUGGAGUGAGAGAUUCGAAGUGGAGAAGGAGAGGCUGGGUUGCCGGCGAGUCUCCGAUUCCGGCAGCGUCGACGCCUCUCACUGGUAUGGAUAGCUUCAUCUCCUCAUCCUCGACGUUCCUGUAUCUUCAGCUUGUCGAGACGAGGUCAGGUGAGGGAGAAUCUAAGAGGAGGAGUUUCUAAGUUUUCCGGUCGUGUUCUUCGUUUUCCGGUGGCGAUUGGUUUCGAUCAAGGCAAUGGAGGACCAUCGUCUGUGGCCACUGUUCACGGCGGCGGCGGUAGUUGUAGGAGUUGAUUUUUGGCUUUAGUUAGUAUAUUGAAUAGAUAUAUGUGAUUGUAGAUGCUUGAAUUCAAGAUUGGAGGAAUCGUUGAUUUUGAGUCUCUGCUCAUUUCGGGUUUACUGUUUGUGUUGGUGAUUUCUGUGUUCUUGUUCCAUUUCCAAUCAUAUGAAAGUGCAAGAACAUGAAUUGGUGUUGUUAAUGCUAGUGAUUAGUUGUUGGUUAAUAUUGAAGUGAAGGAAGACUGCACAGAUUGUUAUUGUUAUUGUUUGAUGAUUUGGGGUUUUGAAUGAGUAUUGAGAUUGAAAAGAGUUUCUUUAUGAUGGAGCUUAUUUGCUGAAGUUGAGUUGAGGCUGCAAAAUGGUUGAGCUGAUGUUGGUGUUGUUACAUGUUUGCUUUAAAGUCGAGGAAGAUUGGAUGUUAGAUUAUAGGAAAGUAGGAGAAGAUCAUUUGUUUCAAGUUUGGGUGUAGAGAGUAAUUUCGGAUACUAUGAUUAAAUUCCAUUUGAAGUUGAAUUGGUGUUUGGAGUGGAAUUGGGUCAUGGUAGCUCAUUCGACUUUAAAGGGGUUGGAGAAAGCGAGUAAAUGCAAGAGUUGGACAGUUUGAGAAAAGUAUGUAGAAAACGGCAAAAGAGGAUUUGGGUGUCCUUAGUAGUUUUGAGGACAUGGUCGUAUCAAUUUGAAGUGGAUAUUGGAGUGUUAUGUAUGGAUAUGGGAUUGCAUUUAGUUGAAUGGGUGUCCAUAGUAUAUCUAAUGGGUGUUCUUAGUAAAUCUAGUUAGAAUGUUUAGUAAACUUGGGACUUUAUAUUAUUCUCCUGGAACUUUAUAUUAGAAUGAUAAUAAAUUGGUAUAGUUUUGAUG
This is an RNA transcript of Fragaria vesca subsp. vesca, 1311 nucleotides long. RefSeq lists it as uncharacterized. NCBI's taxonomy places the organism in Eukaryota, Viridiplantae, Streptophyta, Magnoliopsida, Rosales, Rosaceae. The record is from RefSeq and is a predicted model, not a curated record. The transcript is spliced from 2 exons.